This 463-nucleotide ribosomal RNA is filed under the name uncultured bacterium. Its description in RNAcentral is "partial 16S ribosomal RNA". It matches the Rfam family "Bacterial small subunit ribosomal RNA", at positions 28 to 507 of the family's 1533-position model. The record is from RNAcentral.
GAUGAACGCUGACAGAAUGCUUAACACAUGCAAGUCGAUGGGGAAGUGGUGCUUGCACCCUGGUAACCCUGGCGGACGGGUGAGUAACGCGUAAGGAACUUACCUGCGGGACCGGGAUAACAGCAGGAAACUGCUGACAAGACCGGAUAAGGUCAUUAAGCUGCAUAGCUUAGUGAUGAAAGGAGACGCCUGCGGAGAGCCUUGCGUCCUAUUAGCUAGUUGGAGGGGUAACGGCCCACCAAGGCGAAGAUAGGUAGCCGGCCUGAGAGGGUGGACGGCCACAAGGGGACUGAGAUACGGCCCUUACUCCUACGGGAGGCGGCAGUGGGGAAUAUUGGACAAUGGGGGCAACCCUGAUCCAGCAAUUCUGUGUGCACGAAGACGGUUUUCGGAUUGUAAAGUGCUUUCAGCAGGGAAGAAGGAAGUGACGGUACCUGCAGAAGAAGCGACGGCUAAAUACGUG